This 747-nucleotide ribosomal RNA is filed under the name Acinetobacter schindleri. RNAcentral's name for it is "bacterial SSU rRNA". It matches the Rfam family "Bacterial small subunit ribosomal RNA", at positions 558 to 1304 of the family's 1533-position model. Lineage: Bacteria; Pseudomonadati; Pseudomonadota; Gammaproteobacteria; Moraxellales; Moraxellaceae. The record is from RNAcentral.
GCGUAAAGCGUGCGUAGGCGGCUUUUUAAGUCGGAUGUGAAAUCCCUGAGCUUAACUUAGGAAUUGCAUUCGAUACUGGAAAGCUAGAGUAUGGGAGAGGAUGGUAGAAUUCCAGGUGUAGCGGUGAAAUGCGUAGAGAUCUGGAGGAAUACCGAUGGCGAAGGCAGCCAUCUGGCCUAAUACUGACGCUGAGGUACGAAAGCAUGGGGAGCAAACAGGAUUAGAUACCCUGGUAGUCCAUGCCGUAAACGAUGUCUACUAGCCGUUGGGGCCUUUGAGGCUUUAGUGGCGCAGCUAACGCGAUAAGUAGACCGCCUGGGGAGUACGGUCGCAAGACUAAAACUCAAAUGAAUUGACGGGGGCCCGCACAAGCGGUGGAGCAUGUGGUUUAAUUCGAUGCAACGCGAAGAACCUUACCUGGCCUUGACAUACUAAGAACUUUCCAGAGAUGGAUUGGUGCCUUCGGGAACUUAGAUACAGGUGCUGCAUGGCUGUCGUCAGCUCGUGUCGUGAGAUGUUGGGUUAAGUCCCGCAACGAGCGCAACCCUUUUCCUUAUUUGCCAGCGGGUUAUGCCGGGAACUUUAAGGAUACUGCCAGUGACAAACUGGAGGAAGGCGGGGACGACGUCAAGUCAUCAUGGCCCUUACGGCCAGGGCUACACACGUGCUACAAUGGUCGGUACAAAGGGUUGCUACCUCGCGAGAGGAUGCUAAUCUCAAAAAGCCGAUCGUAGUCCGGAUCGCAGU